Molecule: ribosomal RNA, 228 nt
Filed under: uncultured bacterium
Lineage: Bacteria
Description: partial 16S ribosomal RNA
Rfam family: Bacterial small subunit ribosomal RNA
Source: RNAcentral
CGGGUGAGUAAUGUCUGGGAAACUGCCUGGUGGAGGGGGAUAACUACUGGAAACGGUAGCUAAUACUGCAUAAUGUCGCAAGACCAAAGAGGGGGACCUUCGGGCCUCUUGCCAUCGGAUGUGCCCAGAUGGGAUUAGCUAGUAGGUGGGGUAAAGGCUCACCUAGGCGACGAUCCCUAGCUGGUCUGAGAGGAUGACCAGCCACACUGGAACUGAGACACGGUCCAG